This 253-nucleotide ribosomal RNA is filed under the name uncultured bacterium. RNAcentral's name for it is "partial 16S ribosomal RNA". It matches the Rfam family "Bacterial small subunit ribosomal RNA", at positions 524 to 776 of the family's 1533-position model. The record is from RNAcentral.
UACAGAGGUCCCAAGCGUUGUUCGGAUUCACUGGGCGUAAAGGGUGCGUAGGCGGUCGGGUAAGUCUGAUGUGAAAUCUCACAGCUUAACUGUGAAACUGCAUUGGAUACUAUCCGGCUAGAGGAAUGGAGGGGAGACUGGAAUACUUGGUGUAGCAGUGAAAUGCGUAGAUAUCAAGUGGAACACCAGUGGCGAAGGCGAGUCUCUGGACAUUUCCUGACGCUGAGGAGCGAAAGCAUGGGGAGCGAACAGG